Non-coding RNA from Peromyscus maniculatus bairdii (prairie deer mouse), 734 nucleotides. The record is from RefSeq and is a predicted model, not a curated record. Lineage: Eukaryota; Metazoa; Chordata; Mammalia; Rodentia; Cricetidae.
GGCUUAUAGAUUAGUGACCUACAUUCAACAUCAGUCAAAGGAACACUGGUACCCAAUUCUUCUGGAAAUACAGCUGAAAUGCAGAUAGAAAAACGCAUCAAUGAACAUCUUUAGUAAUUACUGAGACUGCUGGACAUUUUCCCUGUGCUCAACUCUGGUUUCUUAAGAGGAUGUCACAGUUCUCUUCUGUUUUACUCCUUUCCCCUCUUUCAGGAGUUUUGGCUAUAUAUAUGCACGCCACUUGCAAGCCUACUAGCGUCUGCAGAGCUCAGAAGAGGGCAUCAGAGUUCCUAGGACUGGAGGUACAGAAGGUUGUGAGCUGCUAUGUCGGUGCUGAGAAUUGAACCUGGGUUCUCUGCAAGAGCAACAGUGUUUUUAAUUGCUGAGCCAACUCUCGAGUCCAGAAAAGCUAUUUGAACUGUGUUUAAAUGAUCAGUCAUAUUUUCAGGAGUCACCAUCCUACAUAUUUUCAUUCUGUUUUUACUGCUCCUGUUGCUUGGAGAGUCACUAGAGGGAGCAGUGUUAAGACACUGAUUUCAGACUCAGGCGGGGUGAUGAAGGCUCAAGCCCCACAACUGAAAAGACCAUCUAAAUAGAAAACAACUGUGGCCAUCCGGAAAGUCCUGCCAUGUUAUUUUAAAGCUACAUAACUUGGUAAGAAGUAUCAUUGUAAAGGUAUAGUAACGGUCUAAUCUCCAAAAGUUGUUGAGGCAAGAAGGAUCAUUAAAUAAAAA